RNAcentral lists this ribosomal RNA (417 nucleotides) under uncultured bacterium. RNAcentral's name for it is "bacterial SSU rRNA". It matches the Rfam family "Bacterial small subunit ribosomal RNA", at positions 361 to 774 of the family's 1533-position model. The record is from RNAcentral.
AUANUGGUCAAUGGACGCGAGUCUGAACCAGNCAGGUAGCGUGAAGGAUGACUGCCCUAUGGGUUGUAAACUUCUUUUAUAUGGGAAUAAAGUUUUCCACGUGUGGAAUUUUGUAUGUACCAUAUGAAUAAGGAUCGGCUAACUCCGUGCCAGCAGCCGCGGUAAUACGGAGGAUCCGAGCGUUAUCCGGAUUUAUUGGGUUUAAAGGGAGCGUAGGUGGACAGUUAAGUCAGUUGUGAAAGUUUGCGGCUCAACCGUAAAAUUGCAGUUGAUACUGGCUGUCUUGAGUACAGUAGAGGUGGGCGGAAUUCGUGGUGUAGCGGUGAAAUGCUUAGAUAUCACGAAGAACUCCGAUUGCGAAGGCAGCUCACUGGACCGUUGACUGACACUGAGGCUCGAAAGCGUGGGUAUCAAACA